Molecule: ribosomal RNA, 253 nt
Filed under: uncultured bacterium
Lineage: Bacteria
Description: partial 16S ribosomal RNA
Rfam family: Bacterial small subunit ribosomal RNA
Source: RNAcentral
UACGGGGGGAGCAAGCGUUGUUCGGAUUUACUGGGCGUAAAGGGCGCGUAGGCGGCGCAACAAGUCACUUGUGAAAUCUCCGGGCUUAACCCGGAGCGGCCAAGUGAUACUGUCGUGCUAGAGUGCGGAAGGGGCUACUGGAAUUCUCGGUGUAGCGGUGAAAUGCGUAGAUAUCGAGAGGAACACCGGCGGCGAAGGCGGGGAGCUGGGCCGACACUGACGCUGAGGCGCGAAAGCCAGGGGAGCGAACGGG